CACGAACCGGGCAAACGUUAUUCGGAAUUACUGGGCUUAAAGGGUGCGUAGGCUGCGCUAUAAGUCGGGUGUGAAAUCCCUCAGCUCAACUGAGGAACUGCGCCCGAUACUGUAGUGCUUGAGGAGGAUAGAGGUGAGCGGAACUAGCAGUGGAGCGGUGAAAUGCGUUGAUAUUGCUGGGAACACCCGGUGGCGAAAGCGGCUCACUGGGUC
This 213-nucleotide ribosomal RNA is filed under the name uncultured bacterium. Its description in RNAcentral is "partial 16S ribosomal RNA". It matches the Rfam family "Bacterial small subunit ribosomal RNA", at positions 524 to 735 of the family's 1533-position model. The record is from RNAcentral.